RNAcentral lists this ribosomal RNA (616 nucleotides) under uncultured bacterium. RNAcentral's name for it is "bacterial SSU rRNA". It matches the Rfam family "Bacterial small subunit ribosomal RNA", at positions 338 to 945 of the family's 1533-position model. The record is from RNAcentral.
CCUACGGGAGGCAGCAGUGGGGAAUUUUGGACAAUGGGCGCAAGCCUGAUCCAGCCAUGCCGCGUGCGGGAAGAAGGCCUUCGGGUUGUAAACCGCUUUUGUCAGGGAAGAAAUCCUUUGAGCUAACACCUCGGGGGGAUGACGGUACCUGAAGAAUAAGCACCGGCUAACUACGUGCCAGCAGCCGCGGUAAUACGUAGGGUGCGAGCGUUAAUCGGAAUUACUGGGCGUAAAGCGUGCGCAGGCGGUCUUGCAAGACAGGUGUGAAAUCCCCGGGCUUAACCUGGGAACUGCACUUGUGACUGCAAGGCUGGAGUACGGCAGAGGGGGAUGGAAUUCCGCGUGUAGCAGUGAAAUGCGUAGAUAUGCGGAGGAACACCGAUGGCGAAGGCAAUCCCCUGGGCCUGUACUGACGCUCAUGCACGAAAGCGUGGGGAGCAAACAGGAUUAGAUACCCUGGUAGUCCACGCCCUAAACGAUGUCAACUGGUUGUUGGACGGCUUGCUGUUCAGUACGAAGCUAACGCGUGAAGUUGACCGCCUGGGGAGUACGGCCGCGAAGGUUGAAACGUCAAAGGAAUUGACGGCUUGNGAGNGCGAGCGACGACGAGGAGAGG